GACGGAGACCGAGGCACCGAGAAGUAGUUCAGGAAGAGAGAGAAGAGAUUCAGAGACUUAAAAGGAGAAAAAGAACAGGAGGCGGCCAUUCCCAGAGACCGAUAAACAGACGGACCCAAGGAGGUGGAGGAUAGAGCCCUCUUCCCGGUCUGGCAGGAGUCUCCCCUCACUUUGAAUGGGGCCAAAGAGGUCCAGCCCACUAGGCCUCUGGGGAAGGGUGUCCCUGCGCUACUGGAGAAUCUCCCCAAGGGCUCAGCUGGGAAACACCUGUCCUUCAACAAGAGGAUUUACUGCAAACUUCAAGUCUGGCUUGUUAGAAAGCAGAAGACUGUCUACUUCCCAGGUAUGGAGCCCAGGCCCCUGAGGCAGGAAGAUGAGAAGGCCGAGGCACUGAAAGCUGGGAAGGGACACAGACUGGACUCAAAUGCUGUUUUUCUGACUCCAUUCAUUACGAGCUGGUUUCUCAACACCAAACUCGGUAGCUGUGGCCCUCGCUUUGCAGGAGUAUCUUGCAUGUGUCUAGCUCCUGAAGGGCUCCCUGGGCACCAAGUUUAGCUUCCCACCGCUGGACCCAGUAGAGCACCCCAGCCUGGGACCCAGGACCACAGGUACACCCCAGCAUGCCGACCCUCGGCCUCUGUCCUUGGCCCUGCCCAGCCGACAAGUGGGUCCAUGCUGAUCCGAGGAAUUUCCGAAGGCAGAGGGUCCUAGCCAGUCCCUGGGUGUGCUGAGUGUGGUGUGGGGGAGGGAGAAGGAGCUGGGGAGUGCCAGCUUGCUGAAUGGGGGGCCUGGGGGGGCCACCACCACCUCCUAGAAACCUACUCCCUGCACCCCAGGGCAGGGAGCAGGGGGGGACAGGGUGGGGUCUGGCAGGCUCUUCAGGAUCGGUGGGCCAGACCUCUGGGUGUUCUGUCGCUCCGGCCCCUCAGUCAAGCUGAAAAUGAGGGCGGCUUUCCGGCUGGGCCACGAACCUGUAAGCGGUCAGAUCUACCCAGAUUUCUGGCCUCAGUUCAGGUCCUCAGCCCUCCUGGGGCAUACAUUUGGGCCGCAGAGGAAGGGCGGGUGGAGACCUCCCAGCUCCGGAAACCCGGCCCCCUAGAGGGGUUCAGUCCUGGGCUGCGGCGGGGAGGGUCUUGCGGUCACCCAUAGGAGCUUGGGCCACCUCGGCUUGGACAGGUCUGGACAUUUCCGCGGGCGCUCAGGGCACGUCGGAAGCUGCAGGUGCUCCCUGAGCCGCAGCCACACUGCGCUGCGAACGGAAAACCUGGCCAGUGACGACCGCCGCUCCCGCUGAGAAGCCCUGGCCGCGGCACCUCUGCGCACCUCUGCCCGCACCUCUACCUCCGCGCUGCGGCUGCGCCCAGUGGGCGCCGCAAGUGUCCUCCGCGUAAAUGAGUUGAGCUGGAGUUGGGGUUUGAAAGGAACUGGCCAAGCUCCUCCUCCAUCAGAAAACCCCGCUGCGGGAGGCAGGGGAACGGAUUCCGCCUGGGAGACCCAGCUGCUGUGGAGGAAAUGUGUUCCACGCUCUGUCCCGACUGCAUAUGGCCCCCGCAUAUACACGAAUGGUCCCCGGCAGACACAACCAACACCCGAGGCCUUCCAGAUUCAGCGUUGGAGCAGAUCCAGCACCCUCUCUCUCAGGCUCACGCUCACAGGUCCACACUCACCCUUGCACACACACACACAUACACACACACACACACUCCCGUGUGCAAUUCUGGCAGCUGCUUGCAAGGAAGGCCUCCUUCACGCCUCCACACACAAGUACACACGGAUGUUACAAACACCGCCUUCCACCCAGAUCCCGGACUCAGAUAAAAACCACCUCCCUCCCUUCGGGUGCGCACUCUGCCGGCCACCGUGGGCCCACAAGCAGCCACACAGCUUCCCAACUUUUCUGGGGAGGCCAAAGGCAGGGAGGGAGGGGGCGGGGGAGCCGCAGGUGCCAGGAGUUGGGGUGGGGGUGGCUAAGGGGGAGGGACUGUAUCCAUAUGUAUGGGUUCCGCGCACAAAGAGCAGCUGCCCUAAACUGAGCCCCGCGGGCCCAGAGUUGCUCCGAGGCGGCAGCGGCCCCGCUAAUUGAAUUAGACCGGCCAGGCCCUGCCACCCGCGCGCCACCCGCGUCCGCUCUGCCACACGUCCCUGGCCGCCGCAGGCGCUGGUUGGGUGCCGAGGGACGGGUUGAGGGAAGGAGGCACCGCCGCCUGAGCCCCUGCCCGAGGCGUCCUCUCCCCCCGGAAAUAAUCCCAUUGUUCUGCGGGCUGCGUGUGGCACUGGGCGGCAGGGAUCCCCAACUGGACUGCGACGACGCUGUGAUUAAUGGGACAGCGGGGAGGGAGCGGACGCGGAGGGGGGGCGAAGCCCUCCGCCCAGCCCACCCGUCUCCCUGGUUCUCAGCUGCCUUCUCACUCCCUGGUUUGAGGGCCCCUUCCCCACUGGAGUCUGGGGUCUGGGGAAGUGAGCGCAGAACCGGGAGGCAGGCCGACGGGGCCACUGGAAAUUAGACCAGUUGGAUGUCUUAGUGAGGGAGGCAAGGCGGUGUGGGCAGGCACGGCUGCAUGGGUGUGUAAGGGCAUUGAGAGCUGUGAAUCCCUCUGCACUGAAUGGGGUGCUGGGGGGCGGUGUAUGAAUGUGGCUGAAGUGUAGAGUGUGGGGUUGUGAGAUAUGAAAGGGGUGUGCUCCUGCCUCUGGGGGCCAUCCCAGCCCCAAGGCCAGGGAGCUGUGCUGAGCCUCUGGCACUUCCCGGGGUCCCCAGGAAGUGCUUAGCUGGGCACCUGCCUUCUCUCAUAAUGGAUUUCCAGAAGCAGCCUCACCCGAGACCCCAGCCCCAGCCCCACCACCAGCAACUGAUGGUGUGGCUCCUGAUCGAGGCCUCCACCUCCCUGCCCCCACCUUUCUGGAUAAUGCCUUCUGAACACAGGCAUCCUUUCGUUCCGCUCUUCUCCCACUCAACGUCCUCCGCACCUCCGCUGAUCGGGUCUUUUGAGGUCUGGCUCGUAGCGCCCUAACCACAGAAAGCUUCCCCACACGUGGCUGGGAAAGAACUCCACUGCCCAAGAUGGCCCUCACAUCCCUGAGGUAGGAAGCACGUCUGCAUGUCUGUCCCGCUCUAAACUGCAAGUGCCUGGAGGCGCACCAGAGUCCCAGCUUGUCCCCCAGCACUCAUACACGCCCACAGGCGCUCUCAGGACCAGUGAGUCCUUGUUGGUGGCUCCGCCCAAGAGCUGUGGAGACCGUGGGCACACGGCCAUGCUUCUGAGGUCAUGGCGAAGUUCACCUCCUUGCCUCCUUCACCCAGAAGCAGGACACACGGUACUGGCCCCAAGUGGGUGUCGGGUGGGGGUGCCCUAGGGACCGAGCCAUGGAUUCCUAGGAGGGUGGAAGAGGACUCCCACCUCAGGGGACCGAGGGCUGCAGCAGGCUUUGGCCACCCAGUGGUCAGCACUGAUACUGAGACCCUGCCCCGGCAAGGACCUCUGGCCCUCAGGCUUCCUGCCUGAUGUUGCCCUCCACCUGCCCACUGAGCUCUGCCAAGCCACCCAGGUUAUGCAGUCAAGGCAAGGUCCCCUAGAAAUCCAACGAGGGUGGGAGCGGGCCAAAGCUAGGGCUUCAAGCCCACCGGAAGGGGUCAGUGCAUCUGGCAGGGACCAGGACCCUCUGGAGGAGUAACACCAAGGACAGCGGUGUGGCUGGCGUCUCCACCCACACCCCUUUGCUCUGAUACUCAAGGCUCUGGAGAGGCGGUGGGGGUGGGGGCUCUGGGCCAGGCUGGGCAUCCUGGUAGGGCACCCUGAGAGCGCUAGGCGCCAGCACUGCCCACCCUCUCAGGCCCAGGGCCAGGCCUCCGCGGCCCUUACUGUAUUUCCCGGGACUUUUACUGCAGCGCCAAGAUGAGCAGUGACAUCCCCUCUCCCCUUUCAUAAAUAUUGCAUCUUUGCAAUGCAAUUACAGGAGACGGAGCGGCAUGAGCAUUUACUAAAUAAGAUUAUGGGGUAAUGCUAAUGCAGUUUAUGUCUGCGCUCUGACACCAGACAAACUCCCUAUUAAUAACCUCUCAAUGAGGCGCGAGGCUCAGAAAGCAGAGCCUGGGGCUGCCCAGGGCUGUGCACUAGCUCGGCAUGGUCACAGCAUGGCCACUCCAUGCUGGGGGGGGGGGGGUGGGGGCUCCCGUGGCUCCCACCCUCCUCUCUGGGCCUCUUGGCUUGGAGUUCCUUCCACACUCCUUAGGAGGCAACCUUACUUACCCUCCAACCCUCACGCCCAGAGUCUUACUGCCACCCCAGCUUCCUCCACUUCCCUUCUUUUUCCUGGCUGGCACCUCACCCCUCUCUUUGGAAUUCACCCUGCUGGAGAGGCCCAAUCCCCCCCCACCCCCUCACACCCUCACAAAGGACAUGCAAGGCACAUUCUUCUCUGGCUUAGAAACCACUCGCCAUUGCCUAUAGGAAAAUCCAAGCCCUUUAUCCCACCAUUCAAGGCCUUCAACUUGCGGCUUCAUUGGUAGUACCCUCCCCCAAUCCCUGGCUACCAUUCACCAUUUUGUAUCAGUUGAGACAAAUUCUCUCACACCUUUCCACUGACCGCCAUCUCCUCAGUGCAAUGCCCUGGCAACAACCAUUUCUCUCCUAUCCCAACCACACACACACACACACACACACACACACAUACACACACCCUACUCCUACUGUAUGUUGGGUUCUGUGCUGG
Molecule: long non-coding RNA, 4707 nt
Organism: Leopardus geoffroyi (Geoffroy's cat)
Lineage: Eukaryota; Metazoa; Chordata; Mammalia; Carnivora; Felidae
Exons: 3
Source: RefSeq, a predicted model, not a curated record